GGGGAAUUUUGGACAAUGGGGGCAACCCUGAUCCAGCCAUUCCGCGUGAGUGAAGAAGGCCUUCGGGUUGUAAAGCUCUUUCAGCUGGAACGAAACGGUACGCACUAAUAUUGUGUGCUAAUGACGGUACCAGCAGAAGAAGCACCGGCUAACUACGUGCCAGCAGCCGCGGUAAUACGUAGGGUGCGAGCGUUAAUCGGAAUUACUGGGCGUAAAGCGUGCGCAGGCGGAUUGUUAAGCAAGAUGGGAAAUCCCCGGGCUUAACCGGGGAAUGGCAUUUUGAACUGGCAGUCUAGAGUGUGUCAGAGGGGGGUAGAAUUCCACGUGGAGCAGUGAAAUGCGUAGAGAUGUGGAGGAAUACCGAUGGCGAAGGCAGCCCCCUGGGAUAACACUGACGCUCAUGUACGAAAGCGUGGGUAGCAAAC
RNAcentral lists this ribosomal RNA (425 nucleotides) under uncultured bacterium. Its description in RNAcentral is "bacterial SSU rRNA". It matches the Rfam family "Bacterial small subunit ribosomal RNA", at positions 356 to 773 of the family's 1533-position model. The record is from RNAcentral.